This 373-nucleotide long non-coding RNA is filed under the name Lupinus angustifolius (narrow-leaved blue lupine). Its description in RNAcentral is "long non-coding RNA (LANG_LNC002894)". The record is from RNAcentral. Lineage: Eukaryota; Viridiplantae; Streptophyta; Magnoliopsida; Fabales; Fabaceae.
AAAGAGUUAGCUUCUGUGUCUUACUUUGGAGGUAUUAGCUAGUUUAUAUAGUUCUAUUCAGCAGUUACUUUAUAUAUAUUCACUUUUAUGGAGGAAACAUUGAAAACAAUGUUGUUUUCACCGUAUACUGAAGCAAUUGUUUUUAUCUUUUCUUCUGCAACCUUCAGGACCAAAAUGAAUAGUAAACAUACCAAGUAGAAAGAUACAGUGGAAAAUGUUUACUAGAUCAGAAAGCAUGCACACACUUAAGCAUUGAAUUCUCCCAUUUUGAGUUAUGCUUAUGCAUGACCAGGAAGUAUUAUUAUUAUAGGUGGUGACUGAUGAAAAUGCCAACUUGUUAGAUGGCUCAGUUGCCUAGCUUAUUUAUCCAGCA